GGGGCCGUAGCUCAGCUGGGAGAGCACCUGCUUUGCAAGCAGGGGGUAGUCGGUUAGAUCUCGUCCGGCUCCA
This 73-nucleotide transfer RNA is filed under the name uncultured Bartonella sp. RNAcentral's name for it is "tRNA-Ala". It matches the Rfam family "tRNA". From Rfam's summary of the family: Transfer RNA (tRNA) molecules are approximately 80 nucleotides in length. Their secondary structure includes four short double-helical elements and three loops (D, anti-codon, and T loops). Lineage: Bacteria; Pseudomonadati; Pseudomonadota; Alphaproteobacteria; Hyphomicrobiales; Bartonellaceae. The record is from RNAcentral.